This is a long non-coding RNA of Ipomoea nil (Japanese morning glory), 2727 nucleotides long. RefSeq lists it as uncharacterized. The record is from RefSeq and is a predicted model, not a curated record. Lineage: Eukaryota; Viridiplantae; Streptophyta; Magnoliopsida; Solanales; Convolvulaceae. The transcript has 5 exons.
AUCAGACAAUUUGUGGACACUCUUAUUGUGACGAGGACAAUUUUAGUCCUUCCUCACUCUUCCUGUUAAAUGCCUCAUUUGAGAAGGGGUAAUUGCGUCUUUUCAUCCUACCUCAUUCUUCAUCAUCAUUCACUCUACUUCUUUACUUACAGUGUUGGUCGUCGAAGGAUGGAAACAAGGUCAUAGUCCAAACAUCAAUAUUAAAAUCACAAUCGAACAAAUCAUCAACAGUAGCAGAAUGAAGUAACUAAUGCUCAUCUCAACUACAAACAACAGAGCAGCCACUUAGUAAAUUCAAAUCUUCAAAUGCUCAUCUCAACUACAAACAACAGAGCAUCCACCUAGUAAAAUAAAAACUUCAAAUGCAAAUUGCAUAAGCAACUACACAAAAUACAGUGAGUAAUAAGAUAAAAAAGAUAGCCAUUCAGAUUAGACAUGGAUAUGGAAUCCGCAAUUCAAACACUUAUUAUGAGCAUUAAAAUUUAAAUGGAUAUAUAAAAAAAUGAAAUAAGAGUAGAGGUACGGAUCGAAACGAGGAGGAGAACCUUGCGGACGUAUCCGUACUCGCUUUCCUUUUCGGAAUCUUCGAAAGUAGUCAGCGGACCUCCGAACAACGACGACAUUGUGACGAAAGGUAAUCGUAAUCGUGAAAGAAUUUGUUAAAAGGAUAUCCAUUUUUCUUCAAUUUCCACUCUAUUUUUUGCUAAUACCUUCACACAAUCUGCUUCCUCUGUAAAUUUAAUGAGAACAUUUCUCGAAUCAAGAGAUCCGAUGUGCGCCUUGCCUGUAAUUGGAAGGAUUUUCAGAAAUUGAGCCCUAAUUGCUUCAAUUGUGGGCUUCUCCUUCAAAAACUUGCCAAUCAAGGUUAGUUUCCUCUCUUUUUUUUUCUGCUAGAUUUUCCCAAUCUGAUUCCUUAAUUGAGACAAUAGGCUUGCCUUCGUGUUUCCUUUGCGUAGCUGAACCUAGAUUAUCAGAAAUUGUACCUUGAUUUCCAUUCGCAGGCAAUCGCUGUUCCGAUCCUGCUUCACGAUUCUGACUUUUCAUCGGCUCUAUUUCGCGAUUCUGCACCUCUCUGCUUCACAAUUCUGCACCUUAGAGCAUAAGGAAAUUGUUGAAUUAAACCCAAAGGAAAUUGUUUAGACCACUGGAACUUCAUCUCUCUUUGGGUCUGAUGGUUGGCUGAGAACGACAAUGAAAUGGGCUGCAAAGUGAAGAAGAAGGAGGGCUGAAGCCUAGAAGCGAAAGGUGAAGCAAAUUAGCAAACCCCCAGUCUCCCAUAGUUCGAUUAUCCUCUUCGUUUCUCGCCGCCUUGUCCGACAAACAAUCUCCGGCAUACAACUUCACCGUGAAUAACAUCCUAUUAGAUUCAUUCUAGCUACUAGCUACUCUACCAGGUGUUUACUUGAUAGGUUAUUGGAUAAUGGAACCGGGGAGAGAUAGAAUCAGUCAACUUCCUGUAGAAAUACUUGAUCACAUCUUGGAAUUUUUGCCUAUUAAAGAUGCUGCUAAAACCGCUGUUCUGUCUUCCGUUUGGAGAGAUGUUUGGUCCAAUCUCACACAACUUAACUUUGAUCAUCACUUCUUUUCUUAUAUGGAUGAGAAACAUUAUCGUGCUAGCAAUUAUGUCACAGAAUCUGCCGCGGGUUUUUAUGUGAUCAACAAAGUUCUCCCCCAGCACAAUGGAGCAAUUCAGAAAUUUGUUCUCAAAAUUCUUGAUGUUGGGAUAUUCAUAGUUAAGUCUUGGUCUUAUGACUUCGACCAAUGGUUACUUUUAGUUACACGGAAAGGUGUUGAGGAAAUGAAGAUUAGUCUUGGGUAUAAUAUAUACAAGCUGCCGAAUUAUAUAUUUUCUUGUUCAACACUCAAGAGGUUGCAUCUUGCUUAUGUCCUUGCAUCUUGCUUAUGUCGUUGUUCAACCAAUGAAUUCUCCCAACAUACUACCAAAUGUUACUUUGCUUAGUUUUGAUCAUGUUAAAUUUGAUCCUAUAAACCCUUCACCUUGUGCCAUUGAUGUUCCUGUACUUGAGAGUCUGUUAAUUUGUUGGUGUGAAAACACUUUUAAUUUUAACAUGACUGCUCCAAAGCUAUGUGAUUUAACAAUCGAAGCUUGCUACUCUUAUUGUUUGGACAAAUUUCUUCCGGUUAAUUUGGACUUGAGAUCUAUUUCUACUCUGAAUUUGCAAUAUUCAAAUAUCCAGGAAUUUGUUGAAGAAAUUAGUAGGAUGGGAUUUCAACUAAAUGUGGAAAGCCUUAAGCUAUCAUUUUAUUGCCAAAGUAAUACAAUAAUUCCUGCACUUGUUCAUUUGCUGCAAUCAUGCCCCAAGUUAUGCAGACUUGACAUGGAUGUAUAUGGGCUUGAGGAGAUGUCAACUAGAUAUAAUGGUGUCUUUUUGGAGCUCUUGUCAAAACUUUAAGGCGUGGCACAAACAAAUAAAAUGCUUCGUGCUUUGAAGUUUACCUCAUUUAUGGGGUUGCAGUCUGAAAUUCUUUUCAUUAAGGAGGUACUUGCCUGUUUUUCAGCGCUUGAAAAGGUUUUCAUUAUUUUUGCCGCACUUAAUAACCAAACAAAGGAGUUCAUGUUUGGAAUUAAGCAACAACUUUUGCAUUUUCCUUGUGCCUCCACAAAAGCAGAAAUUGUUGUUUUGCAUUUUUCUCGUGCCUCCACAAAAGUAGAAACUGUUGUUAUUUAAUGGGUAUGUUUCUGUUGAACUUACGCGCUUUGGUUUG